UACAUGUCAAUAUACUAUUGUAAUUGAUUUCAAAAGCAUCUUCCAGAACAACAGCCAUUGGCUUGUUGGUAUUAAGCAAAGAAGAGAUAGAUUACAAACAUAUAUCAAUCUCUACUAUAUAUGAUCAAUGUUAAAUAAUACAGAUAAACAAGAUUGAGAAGUACUUCUAAUUAAUGGACAACAUACACUUGAUUUGUACAAAAUGACUGGAGUGAGUCUGCAGUGAGAGCAUUAGUCAACCAUUGUGUAAGAGCACAAUAUAAGAGUAUCACGAGAACACCAGUUGGCCAGAGCAUACAGAUGAUAAAGUGGCUGUAGUGGAAACUUUCCCUGUAUUGACAGGAAAAACUCAAUGAAGCAUAGCACAAUCAGAAAGCACAUUCAUGUGCCUUUUAACAUAAAUAAAUAUUCCUAAGAUUUCAACAAAAAUAGAAGAACAUGGUGAUAUAGGAGGAAUUUUAGCCUUUCCUUGUUAAUUCACCCAGACUACAAUGCAUAAUGAGACCAAACACAAUGCUUUCUCUACAAAGGUGGAUACAAAAUUCCUCUGGGUGUGCUCUUUCUUUUUCAGAAACGAUAUCCUCUUUGGAUACGGAGAAAUAGAAUGCUUAAUCAAACUGCAGAAAAUAUUUGCUAGUUUCUAGUUAUUUCAUUGACUGACAACCACAUCACAAUUUAAAAGAUCACACUUGAACCACAAUAUCUAUAGAUAUUAGUAAAUAAAAACUAACCGAAAACUGGAAUCGUUUGCGUAGGCAUUGACGAACAAUUAUUUUUCUCUCGUCGGCGUCUAUAGCUCGAGUAGCUUAGGGGAGUCUGUGACUGAUAUGAAGUAGAUGGUGUAGAUGAAUAUUUUGCAAAGUUGAAAAUUUAUAUAAAAAUAUGGGAAGAUGAAUUACGGAAGACAGAUUUGCAGCUUUCCGAAUCUAUUGACUCCCAAAACUUAACUUACCCCCAACGCAUUGAUUCAUGAAUCUGUAAGAGAUGUUGAUGAACGAUACAACCAUAGAUGAAGCAGCAGGAUAGGAGCUCUAACGACGGAUCAAUCACUGAAACUGAUGAGAUCGAUAGGGUUUACAAUGGCGUCAACUGUUACAACUUUAUCUUCGUCAUCGAAAAAAUUACAGAAAUUAACAUAUUAUAUAGGAAGGAUGAAAUCGAC
This 1162-nucleotide long non-coding RNA is filed under the name Salvia miltiorrhiza (redroot sage). Its description in RNAcentral is "long non-coding RNA (SMIL_LNC014191)". Lineage: Eukaryota; Viridiplantae; Streptophyta; Magnoliopsida; Lamiales; Lamiaceae. The record is from RNAcentral.